This 632-nucleotide long non-coding RNA is filed under the name Zostera marina. Its description in RNAcentral is "long non-coding RNA (ZMAR_LNC003458)". Lineage: Eukaryota; Viridiplantae; Streptophyta; Magnoliopsida; Alismatales; Zosteraceae. The record is from RNAcentral.
GUAAGUAAAUGAAAUAUUCGAUGAUUAAAAUCAUUUGCAACAAAAUGAAAUACAUAGUUUUUUUAAAUAGUCGCUAACUAUCUUAAUUUUUAUUUUGUCGUUGUUGUUCUUUUUCUUUUUAAAUACGUGUUUUGAUAGUUCAUUUCUUAAAAAAAUUAUUGGUCGUUCGCGACGUUGUGGAGUCUGCUCUACUGGUUGCAUCGUUGGUUGGGGAAGAGUCUGUUGUAGUAUUGGUGCUCGUGACGUCGACGUUUCAAAUGAAUAAAUAUUGUACCCGCCCAUUUAGGUUGCGUCAUCAUCCGAAAGUUGGGUGUUUGCGAAAAUUUCAAUUUCAAACAUGCAAAUUAUAUUAACUAAUUAAUAACUAUCAUAGGAUAUAAUUUAAAAUAAAUAAAAAUAUUACCUUGAUCGAUAGAUCCGCAAAUCCUAAAUUCACCAAUCCUCAAAUCUUACAAAAUAUAUCAACAAAUAUAACACAUAACAAAUCACAAACGAUUAGCACAUAGAACACAUAAUAUAUCACACGGGCGACGGGGAGAUAUCCGACGGAGAAAACACUUCAACGGCGGUGAAGACAAUUUCAACCUAUAAUAAAUAUUAAAAAUAGUAAAUAAUUAAAAAUUAAAAACAAU